UGUCCUCCAUAGGAGGUCUAUAUUGAGCAGAUUCUUUUUGGUAUUGGGUGGUGGAACCGGAGCGUGCUCCAUCCACUCCAUGCAUUGACCUGGUAUUGCAGUGCUUCCAGGACCAGUGC
This 119-nucleotide small nuclear RNA is filed under the name Crocodylus porosus (Australian saltwater crocodile). RNAcentral describes it as "U2 spliceosomal RNA (ENSCPRG00005000217.1)". It matches the Rfam family "U2 spliceosomal RNA", at positions 67 to 185 of the family's 192-position model. Rfam says of the family: U2 is a small nuclear RNA (snRNA) component of the spliceosome (involved in pre-mRNA splicing). Complementary binding between U2 snRNA (in an area lying towards the 5' end but 3' to hairpin I) and the branchpoint sequence (BPS) of the intron results the bulging out of an unpaired adenosine, on the BPS, which initiates a nucleophilic attack at the intronic 5' splice site, thus starting the first of two transesterification reactions that mediate splicing. Lineage: Eukaryota; Metazoa; Chordata; Crocodylia; Crocodylidae. The record is from RNAcentral.